AGGAACAAGAAACAAUUUUUGAUCCAGUACUUUGCCAUUUUACUCCAUUUCCACAAUUUUUUAUUCUCUUCCUUUGAUAGAUUUGUGUAUGACAAAUAUUUGAUAAGUUUGAUGUAUUCUUCAGUGGCAGCAAAGCUAAGUGGUUGGCUAAAGUUUGAGAGCCAGUCCUCAUUAGAGAGGAAGCCAUUAAUGCUGGUUUAGGGUUGACUGCAAGAGCAUGAAGGUUCGGC
This 230-nucleotide long non-coding RNA is filed under the name Elaeis guineensis (African oil palm). Its description in RNAcentral is "long non-coding RNA (EGUI_LNC019402)". Lineage: Eukaryota; Viridiplantae; Streptophyta; Magnoliopsida; Arecales; Arecaceae. The record is from RNAcentral.